GACAGAGGGUGCGAACGUUGCUCGGAAUUACUGGGCGUAAAGCGCGUGUAGGCGGAUCGGUGUGUCGGACGUGAAAUCCCCGGGCUCAACCCGGGAACUGCGCUCGAAACUGCCGAUCUAGAGUGCCGGAGAGGGUGGCGGAAUUCCUGGUGUAGAGGUGAAAUUCGUAGAUAUCAGGAGGAACACCGGUGGCGAAGGCGGCCACCUGGACGGCUACUGACGCUGAGACGCGAAAGCGUGGGGAGCAAACAGG
This 253-nucleotide ribosomal RNA is filed under the name uncultured bacterium. Its description in RNAcentral is "partial 16S ribosomal RNA". It matches the Rfam family "Bacterial small subunit ribosomal RNA", at positions 524 to 776 of the family's 1533-position model. The record is from RNAcentral.